CUACGGGUGGCAGCAGUGGGGAAUAUUGCACAAUGGAGGAAACUCUGAUGCAGCAACGCCGCGUGGAGGACGACACUUUUCGGAGCGUAAACUCCUUUUAUAUAGGAAGAAGAUGACGGUACUAUAUGAAUAAGCGCCGGCUAACUCCGUGCCAGCAGCCGCGGUAAUACGGAGGGCGCAAGCGUUACUCGGAAUCACUGGGCGUAAAGAGCGUGUAGGCGGAUUAAAAAGUCAGAAGUGAAAUCCUAUAGCUUAACUAUAGAACUGCUUCUGAAACUCUUAAUCUAGAAUAUGGGAGAGGUAGAUGGAAUUUCUGGUGUAGGGGUAAUAUCCGUAGAGAUCAGAAGGAAUACCGAUUGCGAAGGCGAUCUACUAGAACAUUAUUGACGCUGAGACGCGAAAGCGUGGGGAGCAAACAGGAUUAGAUACCCGAGUAGUC
This 439-nucleotide ribosomal RNA is filed under the name uncultured bacterium. Its description in RNAcentral is "partial 16S ribosomal RNA". It matches the Rfam family "Bacterial small subunit ribosomal RNA", at positions 339 to 795 of the family's 1533-position model. The record is from RNAcentral.